This 78-nucleotide microRNA precursor is filed under the name Schistosoma mattheei. RNAcentral's name for it is "mir-3492 microRNA precursor family". It matches the Rfam family "mir-3492 microRNA precursor family". Lineage: Eukaryota; Metazoa; Platyhelminthes; Trematoda; Strigeidida; Schistosomatidae. The record is from Rfam by way of RNAcentral.
AGCCUUCUGUAUCCGUGCUGAGAUUUCGUCACACACCAACCCAUUAGAGCUGAUCAGACUUCCAAGAUAAGUGAAGCU